Molecule: ribosomal RNA, 454 nt
Filed under: uncultured delta proteobacterium
Lineage: Bacteria; Deltaproteobacteria
Description: bacterial SSU rRNA
Rfam family: Bacterial small subunit ribosomal RNA
Source: RNAcentral
CGGUGGGAGCAUGUGGUUCAAUUNCGAUGCAACGCGAAAAACCUUACCUGGGUUUGACUCCUUUGACAGUCCCUGAAAGGGGAUCUUCCCGAUUUAUCGGGACAAAGUGACAGGUGCUGCAUGGCUGUCGUCAGCUCGUGUCGUGAGAUGUUGGGUUAAGUCCCGCAACGAGCGCAACCCUUGUCUUUAGUUGCCAAUAUUAAGUUAGGCACUCUAAUGAUACUGCCCCGGUUAACGGGGAGGAAGGUGGGGAUGACGUCAAGUCCUCAUGGCCUUUAUACCCAGGGCUACACACGUGCUACAAUGGGCUAUACAAAGGGCUGCCACUCUGCAAAGAGGAGCUAAUCCCAAAAAGUAGUCCUAAGUUCGGAUUGGAGUCUGCAACUCGACUCCAUGAAGCUGGAANCGCUUGUAACCGUGGAUCAGCAUGCCACGGUGAAUACAUUCCCGGUCA